GGCAUCUUGAUAGUGGUCUUCGUCUUGGAUGAUGAUCCUUUGAGGAGUAGGGGUUGUGGUGGUGCGGUGAGAACUGGUUGAGCAUGGUAAGAUUGGGCGGAGCUGCGUUGGCGUAAUGGCAUGGCUUCUAGCUGUCGCUCUGUGUUGGCCGGGACGAGAGCACGGGCAUCGGCGUCUUCCACAGGCUCCAUGUUGAGGUUGAAGGGGACGACUUCCCAAUCAUCGUGGUACUUCUCGGCC
This 240-nucleotide long non-coding RNA is filed under the name Sorghum bicolor (sorghum). RNAcentral's name for it is "long non-coding RNA (SBIC_LNC017884)". Lineage: Eukaryota; Viridiplantae; Streptophyta; Magnoliopsida; Poales; Poaceae. The record is from RNAcentral.